GAUGAACGCUGGCGGCGUGCCUAAUACAUGCAAGUCGAGCGAACAGACGAGGAGCUUGCUCCUCUGACGUUAGCGGCGGACGGGUGAGUAACACGUGGAUAACCUACCUAUAAGACUGGGAUAACUUCGGGAAACCGGAGCUAAUACCGGAUAAUAUAUUGAACCGCAUGGUUCAAUAGUGAAAGACGGUUUUGCUGUCACUUAUAGAUGGAUCCGCGCCGCAUUAGCUAGUUGGUAAGGUAACGGCUUACCAAGGCAACGAUGCGUAGCCGACCUGAGAGGGUGAUCGGCCACCCUGGAACGGAGACACGGUCCAGACUCCUAAGGGAGGCAGCAGUAGGGAAUCUUCCGCAAUGGGCGAAAGCCUGACGGAGCAACGCCGCGUGAGUGAUGAAGGUGUUCGGAUCGUGAAACUCUGUUAUUAGGGAAGAACAAAUGUGUAAGUAACUAUGCACGUCUUGACGGUACCUAAUCAGAAAGCCACGGCUAACUACGUG
This 497-nucleotide ribosomal RNA is filed under the name uncultured bacterium. RNAcentral describes it as "partial 16S ribosomal RNA". It matches the Rfam family "Bacterial small subunit ribosomal RNA", at positions 28 to 507 of the family's 1533-position model. The record is from RNAcentral.